UGGGGAAUAUUGCACAAUGGGGGAAACCCUGAUGCAGCGACGCCGCGUGGAGGAAGAAGGUCUUCGGAUUGUAAACUCCUGUUGUUGAGGAAGAUAAUGACGGUACUCAACAAGGAAGUGACGGCUAACUACGUGCCAGCAGCCGCGGUAAAACGUAGGUCACAAGCGUUGUCCGGAAUUACUGGGUGUAAAGGGAGCGCAGGCGGGAAGACAAGUUGGAAGUGAAAUCUAUGGGCUCAACCCAUAAACUGCUUUCAAAACUGUUUUUCUUGAGUAGUGCAGAGGUAGGCGGAAUUCCCGGUGUAGCGGUGGAAUGCGUAGAUAUCGGGAGGAACACCAGUGGCGAAGGCGGCCUACUGGGCACCAACUGACGCUGAGGCUCGAAAGUGUGGGUAGCAAACAGGAUUAGAUACCCUGGUAGUCCACACCGUAAACGAUGAUUACUAGGUGUUGGAGGAUUGACCCCUUCAGUGCCGCAGUUAACACAAUAAGUAAUCCACCUGGGGAGUACGACCGCAAGGUUGAAACUCAAAGGAAUUGACGGGGGCCCGCACAAGCAGUGGAGUAUGUGGUUUAAUUCGACGCAACGCGAAGAACCUUACCAAGUCUUGACAUCCUGCGACGAUGCUGGAAACAGUAUUUUCCUUCGGGACGCAGAGACAGGUGGUGCAUGGUUGUCGUCAGCUCGUGUCGUGAGAUGUUGGGUUAAGUCCCGCAACGAGCGCAACCCUUACUGUCAGUUACUACGCAAGAGGACUCUGGCAGGACUGCCGUUGACAAAACGGAGGAAGGUGGGGAUGACGUCAAAUCAUCAUGCCCUUUAUGACCUGGGCUACACACGUACUACAAUGGCGUUAAACAAAGAGAAGCAAGACCGCGAGGUGGAGCAAAACUCAGAAACAACGUCCCAGUUCGGACUGCAGGCUGCAACUCGCCUGCACGAAGUCGGAAUUGCUAGUAAUCGCAGGUCAGCAUACUGCGGUGAAUACGUUCCC
This 995-nucleotide ribosomal RNA is filed under the name uncultured bacterium. RNAcentral describes it as "bacterial SSU rRNA". It matches the Rfam family "Bacterial small subunit ribosomal RNA", at positions 355 to 1375 of the family's 1533-position model. The record is from RNAcentral.